Molecule: ribosomal RNA, 1338 nt
Filed under: uncultured bacterium
Lineage: Bacteria
Description: bacterial SSU rRNA
Rfam family: Bacterial small subunit ribosomal RNA
Source: RNAcentral
AACGAACGCUGGCGGCGUGGAUAAGACAUGCAAGUCGAACGAGAGAAUUGCUAGCUUGCUAAUAAUUCUCUAGUGGCGCACGGGUGAGUAACACGUGAGUAACCUGCCCCCGAGAGCGGGAUAGCCCUGGGAAACUGGGAUUAAUACCGCAUAGUAUCGAAAGAUUAAAGCAGCAAUGCGCUUGGGGAUGGGCUCGCGGCCUAUUAGUUAGUUGGUGAGGUAACGGCUCACCAAGGCGAUGACGGGUAGCCGGUCUGAGAGGAUGUCCGGCCUCACUGGAACUGAGACACGGUCCAGACACCUACGGGUGGCAGCAGUCGAGAAUCAUUCACAAUGGGGGAAACCCUGAUGGUGCGACGCCGCGUGGGGGAAUGAAGGUCUUCGGAUUGUAAACCCCUGUCAUGUGGGAGCAAAUUAAAAAGAUAGUACCACAAGAGGAAGAGACGGCUAACUCUGUGCCAGCAGCCGCGGUAAUACAGAGGUCUCAAGCGUUGUUCGGAAUCACUGGGCGUAAAGCGUGCGUAGGCUGUUUCGUAAGUCGUGUGUGAAAGGCGCGGGCUCAACCCGCGGACGGCACAUGAUACUGCGAGACUAGAGUAAUGGAGGGGGAACCGGAAUUCUCGGUGUAGCAGUGAGGUGCGUAGAUAUCGAGAGGAACACUCGUGGCGAAGGCGGGUUCCUGGACAUUAACUGACGCUGAGGCACGAAGGCCAGGGGAGCGAAAGGGAUUAGAUACCCCUGUAGUCCUGGCAGUAAACGGUGCACGCUUGGUGUGCGGGGAAUCGACCCCCUGCGUGCCGGAGCUAACGCGUUAAGCGUGCCGCCUGGGGAGUACGGUCGCAAGAUUAAAACUCAAAGAAAUUGACGGGGACCCGCACAAGCGGUGGAGUAUGUGGCUUAAUUCGAUGCAACGCGAAGAACCUUACCUGGGCUUGACAUGUAAUGAACAACAUGUGAAAGCAUGCGACUCUUCGGAGGCGUUACACAGGUGCUGCAUGGCCGUCGUCAGCUCGUGUCGUGAGAUGUUUGGUUAAGUCCAGCAACGAGCGCAACCCCUGUUGCCAGUUACCAGCACGUGAAGGUGGGGACUCUGGCGAGACUGCCCAGAUCAACUGGGAGGAAGGUGGGGAGGACGUCAGGUCAGUAUGGCCCUUAUGCCCAGGGCUGCACACGUACUACAAUGCCCAGUACAGAGGGGGCGGAAGCCGCGAGGCGGAGGAAAUCCUGAAAACUGGGCCCAGUUCGGACUGUAGGCUGCAACCCGCCUACACGAAGCCGGGAUCGCUAGUAAUGGCGCAUCAGCUACGGCGCCGUGAAUAAGUUCCCGGGUCUUGCACU